Molecule: long non-coding RNA, 590 nt
Filed under: Struthio camelus australis
Lineage: Eukaryota; Metazoa; Chordata; Aves; Struthioniformes; Struthionidae
Description: lncRNA (ENSSCUG00000008015.1)
Source: RNAcentral
GGGGGGGCUACAGCAACAGGAAAUGACUCAUUUACUACCAGUUGCUCAGGUAUUUUAAAGAGCUUCCACUUUUGUGUACCUAAGAGAAAAAGGCUGCUGAUGGUGGGGGAAAGCCUGAUGCAUGACAUAAAAGUGACUUUCGUUGCUGAAAGAGCAAAGGCAGAAGAACGAUUCUGUGACAAGAGGAUAUAAAAUACCCUGCAAUUCGUCAACAAGAAGAAUCAAACUCGGCUGGAGCGAUCGGCAUUCUUGGGGAUUAUGAAAAGGAUUACGAGCUAUGAGCCUGCAGUCCUGGUACGAUAACAUCUAACUUCCGUGAGACUCCACAGGGCCAGAGUCUGCCUGUAUUUCCCAUGCCGAGCAGUGCUUUGCUCCAUGAUCAGCUUGAAAUGAAGACAGCAAGAAGCCUGUGCCAUCUCUUCUUCUGCAGAUGUUACAAGCUCUUGGAAACCAACUUUCUGCUCCGCGUUUGCCCAAGAUUGGAAGGAGGUAGCCAGCUCCUGCCCAGCUCUCUGAAGCCUGAGACAAAGGCAGAGGUGACCAGGUUUCCUCCUCCUCUUUGGAGUGCAGAAGUGGCCAACAUGAGGGAA